UCGAGCGAGAAGACGUAGCAAUACGUUUGUAAAGCGGCGAACGGGUGAGGAAUACAUGGGUAACCUACCCUCGAGUGGGGAAUAACUAGCCGAAAGGUUAGCUAAUACCGCAUACGACUCCUGGUCUGCGGAUCGGGAGGGAAAGCGAUACCGUGGGUAUCGCGCUCUUGGAUGGGCUCAUGUCCUAUCAGCUUGUUGGUGAGGUAACGGCUCACCAAGGCUUCGACGGGCAGCUGGUCUGAGAGGACGAUCAGCCACACUGGCACUGCGACACGGGCCAGACUCCUACGGGAGGCAGCAGUAAGGAAUAUUGCGCAAUGGGCGACAGCCUGACGCAGCGACGCCGCGUGGGGGAUGAAGGUCUUCGGAUUGUAAACCCCUUUCGGCAGGGAAGAUGGAAUGGGUAACCAUUCGGACGGUACCUGCAGAAGCAGCCACGGCUAACUUCGUGCCAGCAGCCGCGGUAAUACGAAGGUGGCAAGCGUUGUUCGGAUUUACUGGGCGUAUAGGGAGCGUAGGCGGUUGGGUAAGCCCUCCGUGAAAUCUCCGGGCCUAACCCGGAAAGUGCGGAGGGGACUGCUCGGCUAGAGGAUG
RNAcentral lists this ribosomal RNA (594 nucleotides) under uncultured bacterium. RNAcentral describes it as "bacterial SSU rRNA". It matches the Rfam family "Bacterial small subunit ribosomal RNA", at positions 62 to 650 of the family's 1533-position model. The record is from RNAcentral.